UAGCGCAGUUGGUAGCGCAUCACCUUGCCAAGGUGAGGGUCGCGGGUUCGAAUCCCGUCA
RNAcentral lists this transfer RNA (60 nucleotides) under Mycobacterium gordonae. RNAcentral's name for it is "tRNA-Gly". It matches the Rfam family "tRNA", at positions 8 to 63 of the family's 71-position model. Rfam says of the family: Transfer RNA (tRNA) molecules are approximately 80 nucleotides in length. Their secondary structure includes four short double-helical elements and three loops (D, anti-codon, and T loops). Lineage: Bacteria; Bacillati; Actinomycetota; Actinomycetes; Mycobacteriales; Mycobacteriaceae. The record is from RNAcentral.